UACGAAGGGUGCAAGCGUUAAUCGGAAUUACUGGGCGUAAAGCGUGCGUAGGUGGUUUGUUAAGUCUGAUGUGAAAGCCCUGGGCUCAACCUGGGAAUGGCAUUGGAUACUGGCUUACUAGAGUGCGGUAGAGGGUAGCGGAAUUUCCGGUGUAGCGGUGAAAUGCGUAGAGAUCGGAAGGAACAUCCGUGGCGAAGGCGGCUACCUGGACCAGCACUGACACUGAGGCACGAAAGCGUGGGGAGCAAACAGG
Molecule: non-coding RNA, 253 nt
Filed under: uncultured bacterium
Lineage: Bacteria
Also listed under: 1 other name
Description: partial 16S ribosomal RNA
Rfam family: Bacterial small subunit ribosomal RNA
Source: RNAcentral